This 429-nucleotide ribosomal RNA is filed under the name Bacteroidota bacterium. RNAcentral describes it as "Bacteroidetes bacterium partial 16S ribosomal RNA". It matches the Rfam family "Bacterial small subunit ribosomal RNA", at positions 355 to 776 of the family's 1533-position model. Lineage: Bacteria; Pseudomonadati; Bacteroidota. The record is from RNAcentral.
UAGGGAAUCUUCCGCAAUGGACGCAAGUCUGACGGAGCAACGCCGCGUGAGUGAAGAAGGAUUUCGGUUCGUAAAACUCUGUUGUUAGAGAAGAACAGCGCAUAGAGUAACUGUUAUGCGUGUGACGGUAUCUAACCAGAAAGCCACGGCUAACUACGUGCCAGCAGCCGCGGUAAUACGUAGGUGGCAAGCGUUGUCCGGAUUUAUUGGGCGUAAAGCGAGCGCAGGCGGUCAAUUAAGUCUGAUGUGAAAGCCCCCGGCUCAACCGGGGAGGGUCAUUGGAAACGGGUUGACUUGAGUGCAGAAGAGGAGAGUGGAAUUCCAUGUGUAGCGGUGAAAUUCGUAGAUAUAUGGAGGAACACCAGUGGCGAAGGCGACUCUCUGGUCUGUAACUGACGCUGAGGCUCGAAAGCGUGGGUAGCAAACAGG